GAUGAACGCUGGCGGCGUGCCUAAUACAUGCAAGUCGGGCGAACGGACGAGAAGCUUGCUUCUCUGAUGUUAGCGGCGGACGGGUGAGUAACACGUGGAUAACCUACCUAUAAGACUGGGAUAACUUCGGGAAACCGGAGCUAAUACCGGAUGAUAUUUUGAACCGCAUGGUUCAAAAGUGAAAGACGGUCUUGCUGUCACUUAUAGAUGGAUCCGCGCUGCAUUAGCUAGUUGGUAAGGUAACGGCUUACCAAGGCAACGAUGCAUAGCCGACCUGAGAGGGUGAUCGGCCACACUGGAACUGAGACACGGUCCAGGCUCCUACGGGAGGCAGCAGUAGGGAAUCUUCCGCAAUGGGCGAAAGCCUGACGGAGCAACGCCGCGUGAGUGAUGAAGGUCUUCGGAUCGUAAAACUCUGUUAUUAGGGAAGAACAUAUGUGUAAGUAACUGUGCACAUCUUGACGGUACCUAAUCAGAAAGCCACGGCUAACUACGUG
RNAcentral lists this ribosomal RNA (497 nucleotides) under uncultured bacterium. RNAcentral's name for it is "partial 16S ribosomal RNA". It matches the Rfam family "Bacterial small subunit ribosomal RNA", at positions 28 to 507 of the family's 1533-position model. The record is from RNAcentral.